GUGGGGAAUCUUGCGCAAUGGGCGAAAGCCUGACGCAGCCAUGCCGCGUGAAUGAUGAAGGUCUUAGGAUUGUAAAAUUCUUUCACCGGGGACGAUAAUGACGGUACCCGGAGAAGAAGCUCCGGCUAACUUCGUGCCAGCAGCCGCGGUAAUACGAAGGGGGCUAGCGUUGCUCGGAAUUACUGGGCGUAAAGGGCGCGUAGGCGGACAGCUUAGUCAGAGGUGAAAGCCCAGGGCUCAACCUUGGAAUUGCCUUUGAUACUGGCUGUCUUGAGUUUGGGAGAGGUGGGUGGAACUCCGAGUGUAGAGGUGAAAUUCGUAGAUAUUCGGAAGAACACCAGUGGCGAAGGCGACUCACUGGCCCAAUACUGACGCUGAGGCGCGAAAGCGUGGGGAGCAAACAGGAUUAGAAACCCCUGUAGUCC
Molecule: ribosomal RNA, 425 nt
Filed under: uncultured bacterium
Lineage: Bacteria
Description: partial 16S ribosomal RNA
Rfam family: Bacterial small subunit ribosomal RNA
Source: RNAcentral